AUGAAAGAAGCAAAGCUCUAUCCUUCAUGUCUUCAUCAGCUUCUGCCAAGGCGGCUGGGCCAGGCCGCCUCUGCCAGGUGUCAGUGGGAAUCUCUACACAAACGAUUCCAGAGAGAAGGGAGAACGUUACAUAGUGGAUUGCUUAAGCCAAUACAUAGGGAGAAUUUGCUUGGACACGGCUUGCAAAAGGCAUGCACAGGCAAGUAAGUAAAUGGUGUAUCCAUUGUAAUGCUCAGUCAAUGAAAAGAAGUCCUUAACCUGUCAUACUAUUACCCAUGACUGACGCAUCCGAGCCUUGGCUUGGCAAGAAGUAAGGAUUUAGGCAAUGGGCUGAAGCAGCGAUGCGGUGUAUUUGUGAAGCCUCAUGGUACACUUCUACAGCUCUGUGAUUUCCUUACAUCUCAUCCCUCCCUUAGCCACAAGUGCUUUUAAACCAAAUUUUCAGAACUAAGUAUGUGCUGUAAGCAGCAAGCCACGCUAUCAGCUUACAGGGAUCGCUGCACCAGCCUCAGCUGGUCUGGGCAUCCCCACCUGUCUUGCAGUUAUGGCUCUUCCUGAUGAGCUGAUCCACUUGCUCGGAGCUGGAACAAGCUCCCGGGGAAAUCUAAGUGCUCUGUGCCAGAGAGGGAGGUCUCAUGGGGAUUCAGCAUGCCAGGUGACAGCCAGGAAGUGAAUUACCACCAGUGCUCCUGACUGUGAUACACGGAGGGUACAAGAGAUGGUGGCCUCACUGGGGAUGGCUGAGGGACCCCGCCACCUCUGUCCUCCAUGGCUGCUUCUCUUUGCCCAGGUGUGAGAAGUGCCCCUGGGGCUGCCUGGGGGAUUUGCACCCAGGUGCCCCGUCAAGACUGCUGCCCUGGCUGGUGUGGCCAUCCAGAAGGUACAGAAACAACUACGGGGUUUGCUGGUGAAUGGCAGCUUAUUAACCACAGCAUGCAAAAGUAGAGAAUGAUCAUCUUCGCUGCCCAGAAAGCAAAGGAAACACACUGGACACUUAACUUAAAAUGAGCGUCUUCAGCCUAAAAACACCUAAGGAGAAUGAUGAUAAGAGGCGUUCAGAAAUGCCAGGUUUUAUUACUGGGAUGUUCAGACUUGUAAAUACCGGGGUUGUGGGAGUGGGCAGCUUGAUGCAGAUGCUGGGCAGGCUGCACGCACUGCACUGCACUGCACUGCACUGCCUUGAAGAGCCUCAGCAGUGACUGCAGCAGCCGCUCCAUUACCCUGUCCCAGCCCCUGCACGCGGCCAGGCGAGAGGCGGCUGUCAGCAUGCCGCGUUCUGUCCGCAGCAGCGGGGCCUGCAGGUGCCUGCAGCAGACGUGGCUCUGCGAGGGAGCGCUGGGGCAGGCCCACGUGGGUUUGCCUUCCCUGCUUCUGCUGCUAAGGCAGCGUGCCGCUUCUCUCUCACUCUUGCGCCUUGUUACAACUUUCCAGUUCAUUUAGACAUUUACUAAGACAAACCUGACCCAUCUGGCUCAUGGGCGGGCUUACAGCCCAACGGCACCUCUUCAUGUGCAGCCAACCUCAGCACAAGCAGCAGGGAAAAAACCAUCCCUCUCUUUCCUUAACUGCAUUAAGUCUUGUCACUGAGGGCUGCCGCGCGCUGUGGAUAGUGUAAUGUUCAGGGGAGGCUCCGGUACAGCACAGCACAACCCAGUUCAUGUGUGUGUAGGAGUGGAUCUGGAGUAACUCAGAUCUGAAAGAGGAGCUGUGGGACGUGUAUUUCUUUCCUUUAAUUAGUGCAAUGAGGGAAUUCUCAUCUCCUCCUUCACAGUAUUAUCAAAAGUAUGCACAUAGAUACGCUAUCUUUUGGCUUUUUGUUUUCAGUUGUAUUACUUCUGAAAGGUAGAGCUCAAAGACAGACUCACGGUACAACUGAGUGGCAUCUGAGUAUUAAAACCUACGUGUAUUUCUUAGAUAUGGGACGAGAUGUAUGUGAUCAGCCUCUCUGAUGGGAACACCUCCUCCCAAAGCUCUGAGGAAGUGGGGCUUAGUGCUGCACCUAGUGGCCAGUACGUGUCAGACCAAUGACCAAACCUGAGCUUCACUUCUGCUUCACAGUACUAGUGUCCACAGAUUGGACAGAAUUUCAUCCCCCUCUCUGAAGCAGAGCGUGCUGCUCCCCUGGAACAGCUUGUGUGCUUCACGUGGCUUCUGCUCUGCCCAAAAUACUAACGGAGAGAACAACCGAAGCCAGAAGAGCCUCUUUUACUCUGCCAAGCAAACCUCGAGCGCCGCCUGCGGCACAGAGCCGGGUCAUGGAGAUGGCGGUCAGAGGGGGAUCUGGGACCUGGCAGCGCAGUGGUGGCAUCACUGGAGAGGGGAGGCACCGGCUGGGCACAGAGAGAGAGUCGACAAAAACAUCAGACCUUUUAUAACAUAACUGCGUGCUUUAUUGAUAUACACAGUAAAGCAGUAUAUAAUACAAUAGUAAGGCAUAUAUUUGGUGAAGUCUGAUAUGUUGUGAAAAAUGCAGUAAAACAGAAGUUUAUAAAAAUAAUUAGUAAAUGUUACAGUGUUGGUGUUAAAACACAAUAUAUUAUGAUAUCCAAGUAAUAAACCAGUACUAACAAUGAAAUAACA
This is a long non-coding RNA of Numida meleagris (helmeted guineafowl), 2580 nucleotides long. The record is from Ensembl. NCBI's taxonomy places the organism in Eukaryota, Metazoa, Chordata, Aves, Galliformes, Numididae.